This 467-nucleotide ribosomal RNA is filed under the name uncultured bacterium. RNAcentral describes it as "partial 16S ribosomal RNA". It matches the Rfam family "Bacterial small subunit ribosomal RNA", at positions 28 to 506 of the family's 1533-position model. The record is from RNAcentral.
GACGAACGCUGGCGGCGUGCUUAACACAUGCAAGUCGAACGGAAAGGCCCUGCUUUUGUGGGGUGCUCGAGUGGCGAACGGGUGAGUAACACGUGAGUAACCUGCCCUUGACUUUGGGAUAACUUCAGGAAACUGGGGCUAAUACCGGAUAGGAGCUCCUGCUGCAUGGUGGGGGUUGGAAAGUUUCGGCGGUUGGGGAUGGACUCGCGGCUUAUCAGCUUGUUGGUGGGGUAGUGGCUUACCAAGGCUUUGACGGGUAGCCGGCCUGGGAGGGUGACCGGCCACAUUGGGACUGGGAUACGGCCCAGACUCCUACGGGAGGCAGCAGUGGGGAAUAUUGCACAAUGGGCGGAAGCCUGAUGCAGCAACGCCGCGUGCGGGAGGACGGCCUUCGGGUUGUAAACCGCUUUCGCCUGUGACGAAGCGUGAGUGACGGUAAUGGGUAAAGAAGCACCGGCUAACUACGU